RNAcentral lists this ribosomal RNA (271 nucleotides) under Shigella sonnei. RNAcentral's name for it is "partial 16S ribosomal RNA". It matches the Rfam family "Bacterial small subunit ribosomal RNA", at positions 1 to 268 of the family's 1533-position model. Lineage: Bacteria; Pseudomonadati; Pseudomonadota; Gammaproteobacteria; Enterobacterales; Enterobacteriaceae. The record is from RNAcentral.
AAAUUGAAGAGUUUGAUCAUGGCUCAGAUUGAACGCUGGCGGCAGGCCUAACACAUGCAAGUCGAACGGUAACAGGAAGCAGCUUGCUGCUUCGCUGACGAGUGGCGGACGGGUGAGUAAUGUCUGGGAAACUGCCUGAUGGAGGGGGAUAACUACUGGAAACGGUAGCUAAUACCGCAUAAUGUCGCAAGACCAAAGAGGGGGACCUUCGGGCCUCUUGCCAUCGGAUGUGCCCAGAUGGGAUUAGCUAGUAGGUGGGGUAACGGCUCAC